This 414-nucleotide ribosomal RNA is filed under the name uncultured bacterium. RNAcentral describes it as "bacterial SSU rRNA". It matches the Rfam family "Bacterial small subunit ribosomal RNA", at positions 102 to 529 of the family's 1533-position model. The record is from RNAcentral.
ACUGCUCAGUAACACGUGAGGAACGUGCCCUUGACUUCGGUAUAGCUCUUGGAAACAGGUGGUAAUCCCGAAUAUGAGCUCAGCAGGCAUCUGUUGGGUUGGAAAGCUUUAUGCGGUCAAGGAUCGUCUCGCGGCCUAUCAGCUUGUUGGUGGGGUAAUGGCCUACCAAGGCGUCGACGGGUAGCCGGCCUGAGAGGGUGACCGGCCACAUUGGGACUGAGAUACGGCCCAGACUCCUACGGGAGGCAGCAGUGGGGAAUAUUGCACAAUGGGCGAAAGCCUGAUGCAGCAACGCCGCGUGCGGGAUGACGGCCUUCGGGUUGUAAACCGCUUUCAUCCAUGACGAAGCGAAAGUGACGGUAGUGGGAGAAGAAGCACCGGCUAACUACGUGCCAGCAGCCGCGGUAAUACGAU